CAACCCUCGAGCCCCGCCGGGCGACCACACCGGCGGCGGGCUCGGUGUUGGGGACCGGCCCAGGCCGCCCCCGAAAUGCAGUGGCGACCUCGCCCGCGGCCUCCCCUGCGCAGUAGCACAACCUCGCACCGGAGCGCGGAGACGGUCACGCCGUAAAACGCCCAACUUCUUUCAG
This 175-nucleotide unclassified non-coding RNA is filed under the name uncultured Tolypocladium. Its description in RNAcentral is "sequence contains ITS2". Lineage: Eukaryota; Fungi; Ascomycota; Sordariomycetes; Hypocreales; Clavicipitaceae. The record is from RNAcentral.